RNAcentral lists this ribosomal RNA (172 nucleotides) under Lampanyctus pusillus (pygmy lanternfish). Its description in RNAcentral is "partial 12S rRNA". Lineage: Eukaryota; Metazoa; Chordata; Actinopteri; Myctophiformes; Myctophidae. The record is from RNAcentral.
CACCGCGGUCAUACGAGUGUUAGCCCAAGUGGAUGGUUAACGGCGUAAAGAGUGGUUAGGGAUCCCCAAAACUAAAGCUGAACGCCCGCAGGGCCGUUAUACGCAUCCGAGAGCAUGAAACCCCACCACGAAGGUGACUUUAACUUUACCCGAACCCACGACAGCUAGGGUA